AAAUAACAAUGAUUUCCCUAGUAACGGCGAGUGAAGAGGAAAGAGCUCAAAGUUGGAAACUGUUUGGCUUAGCUAAACCGUAUUGUAAACUGUAGAAACAUUUUCCUGGCACGCCGGAUUAAUAAGUCCUUUGGAACAAGGCAUCAUGGAGGGUGAGAAUCCCGUCUUUGAUCCGAGUAGUUGUCUUUUGUGAUAUGUUUUCAAAGAGUCAGGUUGUUUGGGAAUGCAGCCUAAAUUGGGUGGUAAAUCUCACCUAAAGCUAAAUAUUUGCGAGAGACCGAUAGCGAACAAGUACCGUGAGGGAAAGAUGAAAAGAACUUUGAAAAGAGAGUUAAACAGUAUGUGAAAUUGUUAAAAGGGAACCGUUUGGAGCCAGACUGGUUUGACUGUAAUCAACCUAGAAUUCGUUCUGGGUGCACUUGCAGUCUAUACCUGCCAACAACAGUUUGAUUUGGAGGAAAAAAUUAGUAGGAAUGUAGCCUCUCGAGGUGUUAUAGCCUACUAUCAUACUCUGGAUUGGACUGAGGAACGCAGCGAAUGCCAUUAGGCGAGAUUGCUGGGUGCUUUCGCUAAUAAAUGUUAGAAUUUCUGCUUCGGGUGGUGCUAAUGUUUAAAGGAGGAACACAUCUAGUAUA
RNAcentral lists this ribosomal RNA (635 nucleotides) under Mucor circinelloides. RNAcentral describes it as "partial large subunit ribosomal RNA". It matches the Rfam family "Eukaryotic large subunit ribosomal RNA", at positions 63 to 620 of the family's 3401-position model. Lineage: Eukaryota; Fungi; Mucoromycota; Mucoromycetes; Mucorales; Mucoraceae. The record is from RNAcentral.